UACGGGGGGGGCAAGCGUUGUUCGGAAUUACUGGGCGUAAAGGGCUCGUAGGUGGCCAACUAAGUCGGACGUGAAAUCCCUCAGCUUAACUGGGGAACUGCGUCCGAUACUGGAUGGCUCGAGUUUGGGAGAGGGAUGCGGAAUUCCAGGUGUAGCGGUGAAAUGCGUAGAUAUCUGGAGGAACACCGGUGGCGAAGGCGGCAUCCUGGACCAACACUGACACUGAGGAGCGAAAGCGUGGGGAGCGAACAGG
Molecule: ribosomal RNA, 253 nt
Filed under: uncultured bacterium
Lineage: Bacteria
Description: partial 16S ribosomal RNA
Rfam family: Bacterial small subunit ribosomal RNA
Source: RNAcentral